Molecule: long non-coding RNA, 318 nt
Organism: Heterocephalus glaber (naked mole-rat)
Lineage: Eukaryota; Metazoa; Chordata; Mammalia; Rodentia; Bathyergidae
Source: Ensembl
AGACAAUGUAGCUACCUAAGUUUAAAUUCAUGAAACUGAUAAAAAAAUGAUAAAGCAUUGUUUCAGAUGUGAAUGAUGGUCUCACUGAAGAGGGAAGACCCACCCUAGAUGUGAGGGGCACCAACCUAUAGGCAUAUAUCCUAGAAGAAAUAAAAAGAGAAAGAUGAAAGAAGGCUCUCUGCUUCCUGGCUGCCAUGCUAUGAACCUUUUCUCCUGGGCUGUGCCCUUCUGCCAUGCCACACUGCCUUGGAGCCUUUAACUUAUUUUCUACAAUGUAAUUGUAUCAGCAGCAGCUGAGGAGGGCCUGGAUGGCUGCAG